Drosophila montana is the source of this 678-nucleotide long non-coding RNA. RefSeq lists it as uncharacterized. The transcript has 3 exons. The record is from RefSeq and is a predicted model, not a curated record. NCBI's taxonomy places the organism in Eukaryota, Metazoa, Arthropoda, Insecta, Diptera, Drosophilidae.
AAGGUAAGUAAGGUAAAUACAUCAACAUGGAUAGGAAUAUGACAGGAAUAUCUAUGCAAAUCGUUGGGAAUUAUAAAAGGGAUAUUGAGAUCUUUUAAAGACGUUUGCUGAGAUGUAGGAUGUGGUUUGUGCAUAAAAUUCGCAAUAACCGAGCUAAGAUUUGUCUGGCUGAUUUUUGGCCUUUUUUUCGUCAUUUGUUGUGCUCGAUGUAUUUGGCAGGACCUCCAGAAAUUGAAUCCUUAAACGUCGAUUUUAGUGGCUUCGCUUACAUAAAUAUUUCAUUGAAAGCCAUUCAUAAAGGUCUUUGGUGCGCGCUGGUCCCAGCCACGUGUCCUGCUCGAGAGAGCCAACCGAACUGCGAACUGAGAAAUCGAGAAAUUGAGCAUUUGCCGCUUUUCCUCGGAGCUUUUCACCACACAUUUUGGCGCACAGGACAACAACUUUUCGUGCAAACAUUUCGAGUUUAAUUUGUUGUUGCCGCCAGUUUUGGAAUGCAACUCGGCAAACUGACAAUAUGCAAUGGGCAACGGGCAGCGGGCAAUAUGUUGACGUUGCCUAAAUGUCAAAUGCCAAGGAUAAUUCGUGGCGUUAAUGCAGCAAUUUCCGAUGACUGCGAGUUGCUGUAAGUCAAUGUUAUGUCUGUAAUCUGAAGAUCAGAAGUCAGUUAUGGCAAAUGUU